UACGGAGGGUGCGAGCGUUGUCCGGAUUUAUUGGGUUUAAAGGGUGCGUAGGUGGCCUGUUAAGUCAGUGGUGAAAUACAGCCGCUCAACGGUUGAGGUGCCAUUGAUACUGAUUGGCUUGAAAUAAUUGGAGGCUGCCGGAAUGGAUGGUGUAGCGGUGAAAUGCAUAGAUAUCAUCCAGAACACCGAUUGCGAAGGCAGGUGGCUACGAUUGGUUUGACACUGAGGCACGAAAGCAUGGGGAGCAAACAGG
Molecule: ribosomal RNA, 253 nt
Filed under: uncultured bacterium
Lineage: Bacteria
Description: partial 16S ribosomal RNA
Rfam family: Bacterial small subunit ribosomal RNA
Source: RNAcentral